RNAcentral lists this ribosomal RNA (848 nucleotides) under uncultured Verrucomicrobiales bacterium. Its description in RNAcentral is "SSU rRNA". It matches the Rfam family "Bacterial small subunit ribosomal RNA", at positions 39 to 846 of the family's 1533-position model. The record is from RNAcentral. Lineage: Bacteria; Pseudomonadati; Verrucomicrobiota; Verrucomicrobiia; Verrucomicrobiales.
GCGGCGUGGUUUAGGCAUGCAAGUCGAGCGGGAUCCGGAUUCUUCAAGGCUUCGGCCAAGAAGUUUCCGGUGAGAGCGGCAAACGGGUGAGUAACACGUGAGUAACCUGCCCUCAGGAGGGGGAUAGCCCACCGAAAGGUGGAUUAAUACCGCAUGUGGCGGUGCUUCGAAUGAAGCACUUGCUAAAGCUGGGGAUCCUACGGGACCUGGCGCUUGAGGAGGGGCUCGCGGCCUAUCAGCUUGUUGGUGAGGUAAUGGCUCACCAAGGCUUUGACGGGUAGCUGGUCUGAGAGGACGAUCAGCCACACUGGAACUGAGACACGGUCCAGACACCUACGGGUGGCUGCAGUUACGAAUCAUUCACAAUGGGCGAAAGCCUGAUGAUGCGACGCCGCGUGGGGGAUGACGGCCUUCGGGUUGUAAACCCCUGUCACCAGGGACUAACUCCUGAUUAUUAAUAGUGAUCAGGCUGAAUUAACCUGGAGAGGAAGCAGUGGCUAACUCCGUGCCAGCAGCCGCGGUAAUACGGAGACUGCGAGCGUUACUCGGAUUCACUGGGCGUAAAGGGUGCGUAGGCGGACGGAUAUGUCGGGUGUGAAAUCUCGAGGCUUAACCUCGAAACUGCGCUCGAAACUAUCCGACUAGAGACUCGGAGAGGGUAGCGGAAUUCUCGGUGUAGCGGUGAAAUGCGUAGAUAUCGAGAGGAACACCAAAGGCGAAGGCAGCUACCUGGACGAGUUCUGACGCUGAGGUACGAAAGCAUGGGUAGCGAAAGGGAUUAGAUACCCCUGUAGUCCAUGCCGUAAACUUUGCACACUAGGCUUUGGGAGAUUCGACCCNCUCAGAAC